UGAGAAAGAAAAGGGGCUACUGAGCUGGGCUAUACUCUUCCUACUUCCUAGUCUCCUACACAAACAAAAAAUUUCGCCUCAUUGUCUUGCUGUCUCUCUCACAAAUUUGUUCUGUGUUGCCUCUGAAAUCGUGCAAAGCCUAAAGACCAGCUGCACAGCAUCAAUCUCUCUGCAAAAACACCCUUUCAUUAAACAACACAAACUGCUAAACAACAAUUUUUCUCAUUCAUUACUCUCCGAUUCUCUGUUAUCUCAUUUAAAAUCCAAUAUUUUUUUUUUUGAGUUUUUUCUUCUCUCUCCUAGGGUUUGAAUAUGGUGAUUUUCUCUGAUUUUGAAGAUGCCCAUUUCCCCAAACUUGCUCAAUUUCUCUUUUGCUUGAAAACCCAUCAUUUCUUGGCGUUUUUAGCAAAUGGGUUUGCGCCUAAUUGGUCCUGCAAGAGCCACCGAGAUCUUGUAACACAAGAACGAGUACCUUGCGGUACGUUGUUAACGUUGAACUUAAUGGUUUGACUUUGCAUUGAUUUGAAUUGGAGGAAGUGGUGCAAGGGUGGGUAGGGGGAAUGAAGCAAUUGGUCCGUGGAACUCUGGUAUGUAUAUCGAAAUUUUCUGUAAAGUAUUGGUACACUUUAUUUAUCUGGAUUACUGCUAACAUGCUGCGAUUCAUGUAAGCGAUUAAUGUAUUUAUGGAGCUGUGUCACCAUAGCCAUUUUAGAACUUAUGUAUUGGUUAUUCUGGGGUGAUAUUCUUUUGGAUAUGUUCUAGGUUGUAAUCAAGAAAAGAAAUUAAGUUUAUCGUAUUUUCUGCAUUUUAUUUCAUCUCUAAAGCUCCUAGCUCUCUGUUGAGGUAUAGAAGAACCACAUUACAAAGGGCAUUGUUGUCGUUCAACACAGCACGGAGGGAUUUGAUCGACCCUCCAACUGGCUGAAUGAAGCAAUAACUUAUAAAUAGCAGCUUCUUUGUGCA
Molecule: long non-coding RNA, 963 nt
Organism: Chenopodium quinoa (quinoa)
Lineage: Eukaryota; Viridiplantae; Streptophyta; Magnoliopsida; Caryophyllales; Amaranthaceae
Exons: 2
Source: RefSeq, a predicted model, not a curated record